AUUGAACGCUGGCGGCAGGCCUAACACAUGCAAGUCGAGCGGAUGAAGGGAGCUUGCUCCUGGAUUCAGCGGCGGACGGGUGAGUAAUGCCUAGGAAUCUGCCUGGUAGUGGGGGAUAACGUCCGGAAACGGGCGCUAAUACCGCAUACGUCCUGCGGGAGAAAGUGGGGGAUCUUCGGACCUCACGCUAUCAGAUGAGCCUAGGUCGGAUUAGCUAGUUGGUGGGGUAAGGGCCUACCAAGGCGACGAUCCGUAACUGGUCUGAGAGGAUGAUCAGUCACACUGGAACUGAGACACGGUCCAGACUCCUACGGGAGGCAGCAGUGGGGAAUAUUGGACAAUGGGCGAAAGCCUGAUCCAGCCAUGCCGCGUGUGUGAAGAAGGUCUUCGGAUUGUAAAGCACUUUAAGUUGGGAGGAAGGGCAGUAAGUUAAUACCUUGCUGUUUUGACGUUACCAACAGAAUAAGCACCGGCUAACUUCGUG
RNAcentral lists this ribosomal RNA (484 nucleotides) under uncultured bacterium. RNAcentral describes it as "partial 16S ribosomal RNA". It matches the Rfam family "Bacterial small subunit ribosomal RNA", at positions 30 to 507 of the family's 1533-position model. The record is from RNAcentral.